This is a non-coding RNA of Mycena epipterygia, 104 nucleotides long. NCBI's taxonomy places the organism in Eukaryota, Fungi, Basidiomycota, Agaricomycetes, Agaricales, Mycenaceae. The record is from the annotation of a GenBank genome assembly.
GGCCUGAUGGUCUAGUAGUAUGAUUCCUUGUUAGGGUUGCGGGCCAAAUUGGUAAUCACCUGACGUCGAGACAGAGGUCCUGGGUUCAAUUCCCAGUUAGGCCC